This is a long non-coding RNA of Capsicum annuum, 2480 nucleotides long. RefSeq lists it as uncharacterized. The transcript has 3 exons. The record is from RefSeq and is a predicted model, not a curated record. NCBI's taxonomy places the organism in Eukaryota, Viridiplantae, Streptophyta, Magnoliopsida, Solanales, Solanaceae.
UUUAUUUUACUAAUAGUUUUCCCUUUCAAUCACUUUUCCAAAUGUUUUUGCAGCUCUUCACUUUACCAAAUGUUUUGGCAUCUCUCAAAUUGAACCUCUCAGUCGACCCUCUCACUCGACCUCCUUUCUUUCUCAGUCGACUUCCAUUUCCCUCUCACUCGACCCAUUUGCCUGAAACCAUGAGUGGGAAAAUCAACUAAAAAAGUAUUUAUUAUUUUUUUGCUACAAAACUUUGUACAUUUCCAUAAUUAUGGCAGUUAAUGGAUAAUCAUAUUUAAUGUUCUUCAUAAAAAUUGGGGAAUUGCAAAUUGGUUGCAGAAAUCGGAAAACUCGGUGUCAUAUUUGAAGGGGUUGGGUUGGGGUUGCAGAAGUCGGGAAAAUCUAUAGGGGAAAUUGAAUGUUCAUAAAAAUUGGGGAAUUUUAAGAAAUCUAGCUUCUGAUGAAGUAAUUUCAUCUUAUGAAAUUGUAGUUGCAUUGAGGGAACAUAUCUUUCUUGCAUAUCAUAUCUUGAUAUUUCUUAGUCCUGAAAGGAACACUUGUGUCAAAAAAAAUUAAUGGUUUUAUUAUGUAUGCACAUUUUAGAAUUAGCUAGAUCUGUUCAUGGUUUUCUCUACUCACUUCAUUUUUGUGUAGUAUUCUUUCUUUGUAUAUUUCCAUGUGGGCGAGUGUGUUAAAGAUAGUGAAAUAUGAGAAGCUCUGUUAAUGGUGGGGGGUGGGGGUUUUCUUAGAAGUUGAUUGUCUUCAUUUUGGGAUUUGAGGAUUAUUUCAUUUUGUAACUAGUGGAAUUUGUGAGAAUUAUGGAAUAUUCAGGUGAUUGUGAAAGUAAUAUUUGCCUGAUUGGGUGUUUAUGUAUUACAUCUUGCAUGUCUCAUAAUAAAGUGCGUCUAUUGCUUGCCUCAUCACAUAGAGAAACUUGAGCGUUAAAUAUAAAGUUUUUAUAGUGACUAAUGGGGUUUAAACAGCCUCUCUACCUCCCUGAGGCAGGGUAAGCUCUACCUACGUACUACACUUCCCGUCCUAGACUGUACUUGUAAAAUUACGUGGGUAUGUUGUUAUUGUUGUAACGAUGUUGUGUUGGUGAACAUAACCUUUGGAAUGUUUUCGUGUUCAAUCUGGUGGAUUUUUUGGUAAGUGUCGAUGAGAUGGUUCUUUUAAGUGUUAGUGUACUUGUCAUCAAAAUAGUCUUAGUGAUUUGAUUUGCUGUAUAGUAAUGUAUGGGAACUAAUUUUGGUUACUACUUUUGGUUAUGUCAUCCUAUCUCGGCAGAUGUGAGCUGCAGCACUACUAAACAUACGAGAUGGCAGAAGUCAAAUUUUCUUCUAGUUAUCAUUCAUCAUCUAUGAGUUCCAAAUUCUUGACUAGUAUCCGUACAGAAUGAUUUUCUUACUUGAACAUGGUAGUUUUCAGCUUAUUUUGGUUACUAGUUUAUGAGCUACUGUAGAGACGCUUGACCAGAAUGGUUAUGUAACUUCUGUACUUUGCAUAUUUUAUCUAAAUGGUGGCUUCUUAUGAACAAUUUUAAAUGGUUAUUGGUUUUUAACAUAUAGAAUUCGAGUGAUUCGUUUUCCUUAUAUUUUCUUGAUGCUCGUUAAGCUCUUUCUUUCAAUCGAGGGUCUAAAGAAAAUUACCUUUCUACCUCACAAAGAAGGAGAAUAGAUGAUUUUUUUUGUGCAAGGUGAUGAGAAAAUGACUUAGGAGAAUAGACAAAAGUUAUGGGUGAUUAGAUAUCUAGCAAGUGAUAUUUCAAUGUGAAUUAAUUGAGCAUGCUAUAAGUGUAGAAAAUGAACAUCUAUACAGGAAAGAGGGGAGGAGUCACCAGGUACAGAAAAAUAUUGAUGUUUUUGCACUAAAAUAUAAGGACUUUUCAGCAUGUACUUCAGUGUAAAUUAAGUGCUUCCUUGUACUUACAGGCCUUGGAUUUGUCACAUCAAUAACCUUCAUAUUCUUUGUCGGCAUUUUUGCUUCAUCGUGGCUGGGUUCAACAGUUUUCUAGAUAGGGGAAUGGUUUAUAAAGAGAAUGCCCUUUGUGAAGCAUUUAUACUCGGCAUACAAGUAAAUUAGUUCUGUUAUUUCACCAGGUGGCAAAGGAAGCAUCUGACAUGGUUUUGGCAGAUGAUAAUUUUAGUACAAUUGUAGCUGCUGUUGGUGAAGGCAGGUCCAUUUAUAACAACAUGAAGGCCUUCAUCAGCCAAGUGAUGCGGCUAGUGGAUCCAUUUCGCCCAUGAAUGCAAGGAGAUCACGUGAUGAUAAUGAUCCUAAUGACAUUCUUUGAUUUAGUUGCAUUUUUCUUGGAUAUUCAAUUAUGAUGAUGUAAUUGUGUGGUUGGAGUGGAUCUUAGAAUAUUGAAGUUUUUGUGUUUAAAUUUGAUUUUGGAGUUUGAAGAUACUAGUUAAUGUUGAAAAUUUGGAGUUCGAAGAUGUUAAUGUUGAAAAUUUAAUUUUGAAGUUUAAUGUUCAAUGUAUUUUUGAUAUGUUUGUCAA